CAGAUUUUUUCCUCCAGCUUCUCGUUCCCGUUCCCCACUGCACCCGGCGACGAGCAAAACCAAAAUCCCCCACGAAUCCCUGGUUUGCAGGCGAGCGUGGCCGGCGAGAGAGCGGCGACGAGUCAAUUGAUGGAGAAAGGCGGCGCCCACGAAGGAUCCCGCCGGCAGUUCGACGGGUGAGGGCGGCGCGCGCGUGCCGGAGAAGUAGGAGAAGGAAGAAGCGACGGGGAAGGAGAAGAAGGAAGCGACGAAGCGGUUCUACGCGAGGCGGCGGACGACCGGAGACGGCGGGAUCCUGCUGAUUUGAGCCCCAAGGCAAAUCAAAGGUGAGAAACUAAGGAGGGAAGGCAUCUUUUUUCCGUAUCCUGGACUGGCAAUUUUAAGAUGGAGGACUACCCAAAUCAACACGACGGUGAGAAGCAAGGUGCAAGACAGUAGGCAAGAUACAAUUCAAGAACCAACAACUUAAUAUAGCAUCCAGUUCUACGGGAGGCAAGAACAGGGGACCAGAAUUCGUGCAAGAUCCAAGUCAGGCUUUUGCAACAAUUCUGUACAGGAGGCAAAUUUGCAACUACUAGAACACAG
Molecule: long non-coding RNA, 585 nt
Organism: Triticum dicoccoides
Lineage: Eukaryota; Viridiplantae; Streptophyta; Magnoliopsida; Poales; Poaceae
Exons: 3
Source: RefSeq, a predicted model, not a curated record